UCUCCGUUGGUGAACCAGCGGAGGGAUCAUUACAGAGUUGAAAAACUCCUUACCAUUGUGAACGAACCGCUAUGCUCAGGCGAGUAGCGCUCUGUCGCUGCACGCUGAAGGCAUUAAACUCUUAAUUUAGUGAACAUCUGAGUGGGUUAUUUAAUGGGUUAAAACUUUCAACAACGGAUCUCUUGGUUCUG
RNAcentral lists this unclassified non-coding RNA (191 nucleotides) under soil metagenome. RNAcentral's name for it is "partial contains small subunit ribosomal RNA, internal transcribed spacer 1, and 5.8S ribosomal RNA". The record is from RNAcentral.